CUACGGGAGGCUGCAGUGGGGAAUAUUGGACAAUGGGCGAAAGCCUGAUCCAGCCAUGCCGCGUGUGUGAAGAAGGCCUUCGGGUUGUAAAGCACUUUCAGUGGGGAAGAAAGCCUUGGGGCUAAUACCCUCGAGGAAGGACAUCACCCACAGAAGAAGCACCGGCUAACUCCGUGCCAGCAGCCGCGGUAAUACGGAGGGUGCGAGCGUUAAUCGGAAUUACUGGGCGUAAAGCGCGCGUAGGCGGUCUGAUAAGCCGGUUGUGAAAGCCCCGGGCUCAACCUGGGAACGGCAUCCGGAACUGUCAGGCUAGAGUGCAGGAGAGGAAGGUAGAAUUCCCGGUGUAGCGGUGAAAUGCGUAGAGUUCGGGAGGAAUACCAGUGGCGAAGGCGGCCUUCUGGACUGACACUGACGCUGAGGUGCGAAAGCGUGGGUAGCAAACAGGAUUAGAUACCCUUGUAGUC
This 464-nucleotide ribosomal RNA is filed under the name Vreelandella stevensii. RNAcentral describes it as "partial 16S ribosomal RNA". It matches the Rfam family "Bacterial small subunit ribosomal RNA", at positions 339 to 795 of the family's 1533-position model. Lineage: Bacteria; Pseudomonadati; Pseudomonadota; Gammaproteobacteria; Oceanospirillales; Halomonadaceae. The record is from RNAcentral.